GAUGAACGCUAGCUACAGGCUUAACACAUGCAAGUCGAGGGGACACGACAUCGAAAGCUUGCUUUUGAUGGGCGUCGACCGGCGCACGGGUGAGUAACGCGUAUCCAACCUGCCCAUCACUUGGGAAUAACCUUGCGAAAGUAAGACUAAUACCCAAUGAUAUCCCACGAAGGCAUCGGAACGGGAUUAAAGAUUUAUCGGUGAUGGAUGGGGAUGCGUCUGAUUAGCUUGUUGGCGGGGUAACGGCCCACCAAGGCAACGAUCAGUAGGGGUUCUGAGAGGAAGGUCCCCCACAUUGGAACUGAGACACGGUCCAAACUCCUACGGAAGGCAGCAGUGAGGAAUAUUAGGCAAGGAGCGAGAGCCUAAACCAGCCAAGUAGCGGGCAGGAAGACGGGCCUAUGGGUUGUAAACUGCUUUUAUAAGAGAAUAAAGUGGGUCACGUGUGACUUUUUGCAUGUACCUAAUGAAUAAGGACCGGCUAAUUCCGUG
RNAcentral lists this ribosomal RNA (492 nucleotides) under uncultured bacterium. RNAcentral describes it as "partial 16S ribosomal RNA". It matches the Rfam family "Bacterial small subunit ribosomal RNA", at positions 28 to 507 of the family's 1533-position model. The record is from RNAcentral.